ACGAACGCUGGCGGCAGGCCUAACACAUGCAAGUCGAACGGCUGUAGCAAUACAGCAGUGGCGGACGGGUGAGUAACGCGUGGGAAUUUUUCCAGAGGUUCGGAAUAACUGAGGGAAACUUCAGCUAAUACCGGAUGAUGCCGAGAGGCCAAAGAUUUAUUGCCUUUGGGUGAGCCCGCGUUGGAUUAGGUAGUUGGUUAGGUAAAGGCUGACCAAGCCUGCGAUCCAUAGCUGGUCUGAGAGGACGAUCAGCCACACUGGGACUGAGACACGGCCCAGACUCCUACGGGAGGCAGCAGUGGGGAAUCUUGCGCAAUGGGCGAAAGCCUGACGCAGCCAUGCCGCGUGAGUGAUGAAGGUCUUAGGAUUGUAAAGCUCUUUCACCCGUGACGAUGAUGACGGUAACGGGAGAAGAAGCCCCGGCUAACUUCGU
Molecule: ribosomal RNA, 433 nt
Filed under: uncultured bacterium
Lineage: Bacteria
Description: bacterial SSU rRNA
Rfam family: Bacterial small subunit ribosomal RNA
Source: RNAcentral